AUUGAACGCUGGCGGCAGGCCUAACACAUGCAAGUCGAACGAGUGGCGGACGGGUUAGUAAUGUCUGGGUAACUGCCUGACUGAGGGGGCUCACUCCUGGAAACGGUCGCUAAUACCGCAUCCCAUCGGAUGCGCCCAGAUGGGAUUAGCUAGUAGGUGGGGUAAAGGCUCACCUAGGCGACGAUCCCUAGCUGGUCUGAGAGGAGGACCAGCCAUGCUGGAACUGAGACACGGGCCAGAGUCCUACGGGAGGCAGCAUGGGGGAAGAUUGCACAAUGGGUGCAAGCCUGGUGGAGCCAUGCCGUGGGGAUGAAGAGGGCCUUCGGGUUGUAAAGUACUUUCAGCGGGGAGGCGUUACCCGCAGAAGAAGCAACGGCUAACGCCGUGCCAGCAGCCGCGGUAAUAC
RNAcentral lists this ribosomal RNA (406 nucleotides) under uncultured bacterium. RNAcentral's name for it is "partial 16S ribosomal RNA". It matches the Rfam family "Bacterial small subunit ribosomal RNA", at positions 29 to 526 of the family's 1533-position model. The record is from RNAcentral.